RNAcentral lists this ribosomal RNA (492 nucleotides) under uncultured bacterium. RNAcentral describes it as "partial 16S ribosomal RNA". It matches the Rfam family "Bacterial small subunit ribosomal RNA", at positions 29 to 507 of the family's 1533-position model. The record is from RNAcentral.
AGUGAACGCUGGCGGUAGGCCUAACACAUGCAAGUCGAACGGCAGCACAGUAAGAGCUUGCUCUUACGGGUGGCGAGUGGCGGACGGGUGAGGAAUACAUCGGAAUCUACUUUUUCGUGGGGGAUAACGUAGGGAAACUUACGCUAAUACCGCAUACGACCUACGGGUGAAAGCAGGGGAUCUUCGGACCUUGCGCGAUUGAAUGAGCCGAUGUCGGAUUAGCUAGUUGGCGGGGUAAAGGCCCACCAAGGCGACGAUCCGUAGCUGGUCUGAGAGGAUGAUCGGCCACACUGGAACUGAGACACGGUCCAGACUCCUACGGGAGGCAGCAGUGGGGAAUGUUGGACAAUGGGCGCAAGCCUGAUCCAGCCAUACCGCGUGGGUGAAGAAGGCCUUCGGGUUGUAAAGCCCUUUUGUUGGGAAAGAAAAGCAGCAGGUUAAUACCCCGCUGUUCUGACGGUACCCAAAGAAUAAGCACCGGCUAACUUCGUG